UUCCAUUUCUUACACCUUGUCAGUUUGCAAUAUCUCUUAAAGACAAAGUACACAGUUUGAUAAAUACAAUAUUUGCAUUUGCCCAUAACAAGGCAGCUAUGGGACAACCUUUCCAUUAAAAGGGCAUGUCACUCUGAAAGCCAAUCAUGGCUUUCCAAAAACUGAAGGCUGCUGAUGAACUUACAAUUAGGAACGCUUCAACAUUAAAUAACUUAAUUCUGAUUUAGUGUUGAGGAUGUUCCUUUAGAUAGCAGGUGCUCCAAAACAUUAAAAUAAAGUUUACUUACAUUUUCCACCCCAUGGCAGACAGUCAGAGAUGAUAGUCUUGCUUCUUCACUGGCUGAAAAUAGCACAUGCAUAGCAAUUGCCACAAAUGUGCCAGUUGUACACUAUAUGUACAAAUGUGAAAAGGUACCUAUGCUCUAUCCAUGUGGUUUUACUUUUUUCUUGGCCUUUUAUUGAUUUAUAUUAUGUGUUAAUAAAUUGGUGUCUACA
Molecule: non-coding RNA, 495 nt
Organism: Pelobates cultripes (western spadefoot toad)
Lineage: Eukaryota; Metazoa; Chordata; Amphibia; Anura; Pelobatidae
Source: the annotation of a GenBank genome assembly